UUAAGGGGCUUUUCGGGCUUCGGCUCGACUCUCCCACCCUUUGUGAACGUACCUCUGUUGCUUUGGCGGCUCCGGCCGCCAAAGGACCUCCAAACUCCAGUCAGUAAACGCAGACGUCUGAUAAACAAGUUAAUAAACUAAAACUUUCAACAACGGAUCUCUUGGUUCUGGCAUCGAUGAAGAACGCAGCGAAAUGCGAUAAGUAAUGUGAAUUGCAGAAUUCAGUGAAUCAUCGAAUCUUUGAACGCACAUUGCGCCCCUUGGUAUUCCGGGGGGCAUGCCUGUUCGAGCGUCAUUACAACCCUCAAGCUCUGCUUGGAAUUGGGCACCGUCCUCACUGCGGACGCGCCUCAAAGACCUCGGCGGUGGCUGUUCAGCCCUCAAGCGUAGUAGAAUACACCUCGCUUUGGAGUGGUUGGCGUCGCCCGCCGGACGAACCUUCUGAACUUUUCUCAAGGUUGACCUCGGAUCAGGUAGGGAUACCCGCUGAACUUAAGCAUAUCAAUAAGGCGGAGGAA
RNAcentral lists this ribosomal RNA (518 nucleotides) under Lasiodiplodia pseudotheobromae. Its description in RNAcentral is "eukaryotic LSU rRNA". The stretch from base 142 to 295 matches the Rfam family "5.8S ribosomal RNA". The record is from RNAcentral. Lineage: Eukaryota; Fungi; Ascomycota; Dothideomycetes; Botryosphaeriales; Botryosphaeriaceae.